Acipenser ruthenus (sterlet) is the source of this 1843-nucleotide long non-coding RNA. RefSeq lists it as uncharacterized. The record is from RefSeq and is a predicted model, not a curated record. The transcript is spliced from 2 exons. NCBI's taxonomy places the organism in Eukaryota, Metazoa, Chordata, Actinopteri, Acipenseriformes, Acipenseridae.
AAUAGGUAAUCAGAUGUGUACUAUAAAGGUUGGGGCGGGGGGGCUACCAAAAGGAGAUGGAGGAGCGCGAUCGAGGAGCGCAUUGGACAAUCAGUUGAUAGACAAUUGGUGAAUUGGGAAUUCCAGAAUGAGACGAAGAGUCCGGAAGUUGAAGCGAAUCAGGGUGCACAGAGCCAAGUGCAGAGCCGGUCUUUCACUGUAGUGGCUUUGGGACGCGAAACGCGAGCAGCUGAACACGACCGUCCAAGAAGUGCGAGUCGAAGAGAAGCAGAGAGCACGGGCAGUCUGAGAGCGAUACACGGCGAGACGUUGAGCAUCGUGGAGCGCUAUAUUUAACUACUAAUCGGCUAAGUGGAACUGGGAAUGUGUGCAAUACCCAAACAACUCUGAACCUGAGGGGGGAGUAGCGAUUGACUGCCCAGCCAAAUGUGGGGUCCAGUGGUUAAAGAAAAGGACUUGUAACCAGGAGGUCCCCGGUUCAAAUCCCACCUCAGCUACUGACUCAUUGUGUUACCCUAAGCAAGUCACUUAACCUCCUUGUGCUCUGUCUUUCGAGUGAGAUGUAAUUAUGUGACUCUGCAACUAAUGCAUAGUUCACACACCCUAGUCUCUGUAAAUCACCUUAGAUAAAGGCGUCUGCUAAAUAAACAAAUGGAGAGAGUUUACGAGGCUAUUAGUCUGUCGGCUCAGACUCUGUGGUAGUGGUGCCCCCUGUUGGGGAAGGGGUAAUUGAGCAGUCGAAAUUGGGGUGGCAGGAGACUGGAACCACAUCCUCUACCAAUGAUCCAGCCAGGGCAAGUGCAGUAUUGAUUGGGAAUUAACUGUGUGUAAUUAUUGCUUUCUUUUAUUCUGUAAUUUCAUAACAAAUCAUUGAGUUUUUAAGCAAGUCUGUUCAAAUUUAAAACAAACAAAAAAAGUAUUUACAUUACUUCCUGCCUGUUCUCCUUGGUGUGGGUGGUGGGCUGAUUGCUGUCUUCCCUCCAUGGAUGCCUUGAACCUGUGUGUAAUAAACAAAUAGAAACCAAGUAUAAUAGGUUGGAAUUCCUUAUUUUCUAUAAACAUAAUGUGGUGUAGUCUGGCGGUAUUGCUUAUAGGGGGUAUUAGAUUAUUUCACCCCUCACCUGCGACAGAUAUUUGGCGAUAUUCUUCUGAUGACUGUCGGGUCAUAGCACAAUGUAUUGUAGACUGACAUCCUGAAUCGAGCCACACAAUGGCGCUUUAGUAGUACUCUACUACCUAAUGAAUCAUUCUCAAACUCAUUUCAAUCCGAACUUGCUUUUAAUCGAGAUUGUGAGUGAUCCUCGUAUCUUAUGGGAUGUAAUAAAGGGCUUUAUUAGAGAUACUGCUAUAUUAUUUGCCUGUAAUCUUAAUACAUCACGUUUGGGCAAAAUUCGCUCUGUUAGAACAUACUUUACGGAGCUCUUUCUCGGAAACCACUGCGCUUGAAUCGGAUAUUGCUAGGAAGGAUCUUAAUAUUUUAUUUAGACGACGUGCAGAGUUCCUCAUUCUUGGGACUAGACAGAAUUAUUUUCAUGGCAGCAGAGCGAGUCACCUUUAGCUUUAAGCUCCACAACGAAUGUCUCGCAGACAUUCCAUAUAGCUUCGGACCCACUUCUAAUGAAUGCUGAAUUUCUGUCAUUUUAUUCUAAAUUGUAUAGUUCAGAUAUCUCAGUUUCUUCAGAGUCUUCAAUUGCCACAUCUCUUGGUUGAUGAAUCAGCUGCACUGGGUGCUCCAAUCUCUCUGGAGGAGAUGAGAGGCGGUACAAGGUAUGAAUAAGGGCAAAUCUCCUGGUUUUGAUGGCAUACCUCCUGAGUUUUCUCACUUUUGUAGAGAUGUUAACAC